This 73-nucleotide transfer RNA is filed under the name Spirochaetota bacterium. RNAcentral describes it as "Spirochaetes bacterium tRNA-His". It matches the Rfam family "tRNA". From Rfam's summary of the family: Transfer RNA (tRNA) molecules are approximately 80 nucleotides in length. The record is from RNAcentral. Lineage: Bacteria; Pseudomonadati; Spirochaetota.
UUAACCGUAGCUCAGUUGGUUAGAGCGGCUGGCUGUGACCCAGCAGGCGGGGAUUCGAGUUCCCUCGGUUAAC